UGAGUACGAGAUGCUACGGCAUCGAAGCAGUCUAUGUCAUACUUCCAAGAAAAGCUUGCAAUGUCAUAAACAAAUAAUGCCUGUACCAUAACCGACACAGGUGGGUAGGUAGAGUAUACUAAGGGGCGCGAGAUAACUCUCUCUAAGGAACUCGGCAAAAUGACUCCGUAACUUCGGGAGAAGGAGUGCCUUAUUUUUAUAAGGUUGCAAUAACAAGAUCCAAGCAACUGUUUACCAAAAACACAGGUCUCCGCUAAGUCGUAAGACGAUGUAUGGGGGCUUACGCCUGCCCAGUGCCAGAAGGUUAAAGAAGUUGGUUAGCAUUAGCGAAGCUGAUAACUGAAGCCCUGGUGAACGGCGGCCGUAACGAUAACGGUCCUAAGGUAGCAAAAUUCCUUGUCGGGUAAGUUCCGACCCGCACGAAAGGCGUAAUGAUUUGGAUACUGUCUCGGAGAGGGGCUCGGUGAAAUAGACUUGUCUGUGAAGAUGCGGACUACCUGCACCUGGACAGAAAGACCCUAUGAAGCUUUACUGUAACUUGAGAUUGAAAUUGGACUUUAUCUGCGCAGUAUAGGUGGGAGACGUUGAAAAUAUUCUUGCGGGAAUAUUGGAGUCAUCAGUGAGAUACCACUCUUAUAAUGUUAGAUUUCUAACUUUGUAUCAUUAUCUGGUCAAAGAACAGUUUCAGGCGGGCAGUUUGACUGGGGCGGUCGCCUCCCAAACGGUAAGGGAGGCGCACAAAGGUUUCCUCUGAACGUGUAGAAAUCGUAUCUAGAGUGUAAAGGCAUAAGGAAGCUUGACUGUGAGACCUACAAGUCGAGCAGGGACGAAAGUCGGUCUUAGUGAUCUGACGGUGCUGAGUGGAAAGGCCGUCACUCAACGGAUAAAAGUUACUCUAAGGAUAACAGGCUGAUCUCCCCCAAGAGUUCACAUCGACGGGGAGGUUUGGCACCUCGAUGUCGGCUCAUCGCAUCCUGGGGCGGUAGUACGUCCCAAGGGUUGGGCUGUUCGCCCAUGAAAGCGGUACGCGAGCUGGGUUCGGAACGUCGUGAGACAGUUCGGUCCAUAUCCGGUGUAGGCGUUAGAAUAUUGAGAGGAGCCUUCUUUAGUACGAGAGGACCGAGAAGGACAUACCUCUGGUGUACCAGUUAUCGUGCCAACGGUAAACGCUGGGUAGCCAUGUAUGGAGAGGAUAACCGCUGAAAGCAUCUAAGUGGAAGCCCAUCUCAAGAUAAGUAUUCC
Molecule: ribosomal RNA, 1242 nt
Filed under: metagenome
Description: bacterial LSU rRNA
Rfam family: Bacterial large subunit ribosomal RNA
Source: RNAcentral